ACGGGUGAGUAAUACAUCGGAACGUGCCCUGUAGUGGGGGAUAACUAGUCGAAAGAUUAGCUAAUACCGCAUACGACCUGAGGGUGAAAGUGGGGGACCGCAAGGCCUCAUGCUAUAGGAGCGGCCGAUGUCUGAUUAGCUAGUUGGUGGGGUAAAGGCCCACCAAGGCGACGAUCAGUAGCUGGUCUGAGAGGACGAUCAGCCACACUGGGACUGAGACACGGCCCAGACUCCUACGGGAGGCAGCAGUGGGGAAUUUUGGACAAUGGGGGCAACCCUGAUCCAGCAAUGCCGCGUGUGUGAAGAAGGCCUUCGGGUUGUAAAGCACUUUUGUCCGGAAAGAAAUCGCACUUACUAAUAUUAGGUGUGGAUGACGGUACCGGAAGAAUAAGGACCGGCUAACUACGUGCCAGCAGCCGCGGUAAUACGUAGGGUCCAAGCGUUAAUCGGAAUUACUGGGCGUAAAGCGUGCGCAGGCGGUUGUGCAAGACCGAUGUGAAAUCCCCGGGCUUAACCUGGGAAUUGCAUUGGUGACUGCACGGCUAGAGUGUGUCAGAGGGGGGUAGAAUUCCACGU
This 576-nucleotide ribosomal RNA is filed under the name uncultured bacterium. RNAcentral describes it as "bacterial SSU rRNA". It matches the Rfam family "Bacterial small subunit ribosomal RNA", at positions 102 to 674 of the family's 1533-position model. The record is from RNAcentral.